AGGGUUCGAUUCUGGCUCAGGAUGAACGCUGGCGGCGUGCCUAACACAUGCAAGUCGAGCGAUUCUCUUCGGAGAAGAGCGGCGGACGGGUGAGUAACGCGUGGGUAACCUGCCUCAUACACAUGGAUAACAUACCGAAAGGUAUGCUAAUACAGGAUAAUAUAAGAGAUUCACAUGGAUUUCUUAUCAAAGCUCCGGCGGUAUGAGAUGGACCCGCGUCUGAUUAGCUAGUUGGUAAGGUAACGGCUUACCAAGGCGACGAUCAGUAGCCGACCUGAGAGGGUGAUCGGCCACAUUGGAACUGAGACACGGUCCAAACUCCUACGGGAGGCAGCAGUGGGGAAUAUUGCACAAUGGGCGAAAGCCUGAUGCCAGCAACGCCGCGUGAGUGAUGAAGGCCUUCGGGUCGUAAAACUCUGUCCUCAAGGAAGAUAAUGACGGUACUUGAGGAGGAAACCCCGGCUAACUACGUGCCAGCAGCUGC
RNAcentral lists this ribosomal RNA (484 nucleotides) under uncultured bacterium. RNAcentral's name for it is "bacterial SSU rRNA". It matches the Rfam family "Bacterial small subunit ribosomal RNA", at positions 8 to 518 of the family's 1533-position model. The record is from RNAcentral.